CUGGGGAUAGGUUAUCCGUGCUCUGAGUCUGAGAAGGGGAUUUGGGGGAGGCUUAAGGUAGAAACAAAAGAUCUCAGUUUUGCCAUCCAAAUCAACCCAUGGCCAGAUCAGAUUUAGGGUAAAUUGAUUUAAUGGUCAGGAAUGCAUUUGGUGGCCAGUCUUCCAGGGGGCCCAUGAAAGUUCAGGAUUUCUUCUGAAUUUUGUCCUUGGAGGUGUGGGAAGAAUGAAUAUUGAAUAUUCAUACUCAACAUGAAUAUUUUGGAAGCUGGGCCUGAAAGUUAAGGUUCACUGAAAGCUAAAAAUGAGAUGAACUCAGUGAAAGUACUGUGGAAAGAGGCACCUGGCUGGAUAUUUGAAUCUUCUUAACCCUGAGCUCUGCUUCAGUCUCAUCUGUUGUGUUCAUGACAUGACUCUCUAAUCACUAUGGGCAAUUGGGAAAAUGGUUAUUUUCAAAAAGAAAUUGACUUGUCUCUUCGUAGUUUAAUGUAGAAGCAGGUAUAGUUUGGUUAUGGUGAAAUCUGGUCCAAUGACGGCAUCCACAGAUGAGGCCAAAGCUUGAAUGCCCUUGGAGCCUAUACUGCUUUUAGGCCCUGGCAGAAACAUGGUUUUUAAAUCACAUUCCAAAGUGCAAUUACCAACAAUGAAUAAAUACAUCAUAACAAUGGGGGAAGCAGAAAAUGACUUUAGAAAGACAGAGUGAUCUUUUGAGACACAGUCUAUAUAAUUCCUAGGAAGCCCUGAUAGUAUCUUCUUGGGAAAUCUCCCUGCUGCAGGAAACUGCCUUCCUAGAUUUUACCUCACUGCCUCUAGUUGCAGUUACUUCAGGUAAACAGACCUCCUUUUAACUGUGACUCUUCCUCAGAGAACCAAAAUAUGCUUUGUUUUUUCUUGGGCCCUAUAGGAUCCUGGUUUGGGAUAAAUCUCAUAUGUCUAUUUUCCAAAGAUCAUUUUGGUUUCUCUGUAUUUGUAAAUGCACUUGAUUGUAAUCACAAAAGAAAAGACAGUGAUGCACUGUGUUGGCUCUGAAGAAAAACAUUGACCAGACAGAAAGUCUUCCCCAUAGCCAAACUGAGCUGUAAUGACCGUGCUUUUCAUUUCUCCCAGGAAAUAGUAAUAUAAUUGGUCACUGUAUUACAGUAAACAGUUUGUUCAUUCUUUGUUCAGUAGAAAAUGUUUGGGAGAUAUGUCUCACAUAAUAUGCUGGCUUCACGAUAAUAAAGACUGGGAAUAGAUUUGUUUCUAAAUAAAUCUCAAUAAAUACAUUGGUAAAAUGAACACAGUAGGAAGAAUAAACAAUGCA
RNAcentral lists this long non-coding RNA (1300 nucleotides) under Homo sapiens (human). Its description in RNAcentral is "HSALNT0335911". The record is from RNAcentral. Lineage: Eukaryota; Metazoa; Chordata; Mammalia; Primates; Hominidae.